RNAcentral lists this long non-coding RNA (216 nucleotides) under Musa acuminata (dwarf banana). RNAcentral describes it as "long non-coding RNA (MACU_LNC011799)". Lineage: Eukaryota; Viridiplantae; Streptophyta; Magnoliopsida; Zingiberales; Musaceae. The record is from RNAcentral.
AAACUUUUACACCCGUCUUUUACAAAGUUUCCCUGACACACCUCCCUUAGAACUCUCUCUAAGUUUUAGGAGGAGGGAACUCAACUUUCUAAUAGGGUUUAAAAUUUUAGCAUCAUAGAGUUUUGCUCAAAUUUCUUACUACUCAAUGAAGGAAUAGCUGGGGUAUUUAUAGACCCCAAAUGACUUCAAAACUUGAAGCCAAAAUUUAAAUCCCCG